RNAcentral lists this long non-coding RNA (402 nucleotides) under Gossypium raimondii (Peruvian cotton). Its description in RNAcentral is "long non-coding RNA (GRAI_LNC000597)". Lineage: Eukaryota; Viridiplantae; Streptophyta; Magnoliopsida; Malvales; Malvaceae. The record is from RNAcentral.
AUAUCUUACUUAGCCAUUUUGAACCUAUUUUGGAAACUAAAUACCACACUUAGUCGAAUUUAACCCCUUUUGUUCUAAAUCAAACGAUACUUCUAAUUUUAACGAUCGAGCAAUCUAGAUGACUCAAAUUUUCACCGAGGUGAGUUCGCAUCAUUUGGUAUUAGAGCUAGCUAAAAUCGAGGAGUAUGGACGUUCAAGCAUCACGGGGUAAGUUUUGAAAAAAAACAAAAAAAUUUUGAAAAAAAUCAAAAAUAUUCAUGUACAAAAAAGAAUUUAUAUACAUUCAGCAUUUUAGAAAAAAAAAGAAGAGAAAAACAAAAUUUCAAAAAAAAAAGAAAAGUGUUUUGAAAGUGUUCAUAGUUUCUUUCGAUCGUCAAAAGUUCUUUCCUACCAAAAACAAAC